CGCUGACUCAGCCCUGUACUUUCUUAGCAAACGCCAGCCGCCGCCCUCGCUCCUCCCAGCCGCCUCCAUGCUGUCUUCCUCCUCCUCCUCCAUCUUCCCGCAUCUCAUCCAUCUCGCCGGAUCCAAGGCGUGGGAGCACAGAGGCGAGCUUCUACGGCAGCGGCGGGAGACUGCAGGCAAAGGGCGACCCCAUGGAUCCGUGUCCAGCCCUCCUCAUCCCGGUUCCCAUGGAUCCGAGGCUUGCAGGCACGGAGGCAAACUGCCCCGGCGGCGGCGUCAACUGCAGGCAAGGGGCAAUGGUGGUGCCGCUCGAUCUGAUCUGCAGGAGAGGGACAAGAUGAGAGGGAGAGAGAGAUGAAGGAGAGGAGGAAGAAAGGGAGAGGAAGAGAAGAUGGAGGUGCGGCAUCGGCCGAGCGAGGGUCACUGGCGCGGUUUGUGGUGGCAAAAAUGACAUCGAAGUCCACCACUGUGAGCUGCUCGAACCGUAUGCGCCCGCCAACUUCCUUUCCCCUUCUGGUGGCCCCUUCCUACUUUAUGCAACUUUGAAAAUGAAGACAAUGACGGGGAGGAGGGCCUGCCUUUUCCUCAGCGGGGAGGUCGACAGUUGGAGGUUUUGUGAGUGAAUGAAGCAAAACAACAGGAAGGAAAUAGAGCGGGUAGUGUGUCAUCAUGCACACAGUUUGCCUUCCAUUGACGUGUGCACAACAGGGACCAUGCAUUGGAACAUCGAAUUCAACCGGCUUACAAGUUGAAGAGAAGGUUACGUAUGCUCUUUGUGAGCAGUACUAAGUAAUCUAAUGAUCUGCUCCAUGCAAUCUAAGAAAAAUAAAUGUGCAAGCCAUUUCUGAUAGAAGGUCUGGGUAUUAACUAUUUUUGUUUGUGUCUACAAGCUUUUGACUUUCUUGCCCGGUCUAUUGUUAUUUGCAAUAUUGGAUACUCUUGCCAUUUCUUGUGAAUAUUUUUUUGUUUGUCAUACUCUCAAUAUACUGCAUAUUAACUCUAUAUUGCAGAAUAUUUGAACAAUCAGAAUCUACAAGAAGGCAAGGAUAACUAUAUUAAACAUUUCACGAGAUCCUUCCAAUUAUUGGCACAAACUCCUUUUCAAGAUAUUACGGGUGUGGUUGACUACCGGAGAUUAUCAGAUGGAAAGAACGCAUAUCCUUCAUCUUUAUUUAGAUGUUUAAUUAGAUGCACAAGCGUACAUGAUUAUGUGCCAUAUCCCUUUUCUAUCCAGCUGCUGCAUUCUUUUCUUUCGUAUGUGUUGUCAUGGUCAUUAGUUUAGAUUGUGUUAAUAUUUAUGAUAUGGCCCAGAGUUGUGUUCUGUUUUUGCUCAUGCUUGCUGCUUGCAUGAUUGAACAUCUGGUGUUUUGUCUGAUCAACCAUUUGUGUGCAGUAGUAUUCAUUUUAUCCUUGAUCAUGUGCGUGUGUACAUGUACUGAAGUAGUUUUAAUUGAUAUAAAAGUUUUCAUUUAUUGCAGCAAUUUGACUUUAACUAGCCAUAGUCUACAAGGAACAUUAGGAGUAGACUAUAACUUUCCAUCUGGAAAGUGUUUUCUAUGCAGAAUUGGUUAGCAUUAUCUCUAGAUACAACUAUUACUAUUCAAUAGAUAACUUACAUGUUGCCGCAAACUGAUGUUUCUUCAACUGUACAGACUGAUGGUGAUGAUAUAUACUUAUAUGCCCAUUAUCGAGUGAUAGCUAUUGUUCUCUACCAAUGGUAUGUUUGCAACUGCAACCCAUAUUCCAAUAAUGGCCAUAGCCGAGAUGACAUGCAUCUGCGGGGAGAAUCACCAUGACGGACUGCAUCUGCCCAGACGAUUUUUGCAACGGCCACGACGAAGUGCAUCUCUCAAUUCCAGGAUCAGCAUGCUGGAUGAAUCCUCCUUGCCUGUUAAGUCGCAAUGGUGCAACCAAACACCAUGGAGGCUUCUGUAUUAGGGACGGUGAAUCUGCAUCGACAGUGAUGGAUGGAAAUUGCUCGCCCUCCUUCCUCCAUAAACCAUGGGGACCUUGUAUACUUGUAUUAGCCUCCCCAUCUAUCCAUCAGGAAGCCCUGACUUCCCCUGCUAUUGCUGUCGAAAACGCUACCCUUGCAGAACAUGAACUGAACUUAAGUAUGGCACAUGGAGCUUCAGUUCAAUUACUUGUAGAUGAAGGUGCUUGCUGAUUCACUCUUUAUGCAACACUCAUCUUUUAUACAUGAAUGUGAAGAUAAUUUGAAGCCUCAAAUGGGGAUGACAUUUGAAGGACUGAAGGUUGCGGAGUAGUUCUACAAGUCUUAUGCACACCACUCUGGUUUUAGAGUUCGUAUUGGACAACAAAAGAAGUUAGAAAAUGAGGUCAUUCACAAUAAAAGCUACUGUACAUGUUUGGUAAUGAUACCUACGAGAUACUAUCAUGGGUCAAGCACCAAUCAUUGCCUUGUGUCACCAGAUAAGCGUCAUUUAAUCAAAUCAAAUCGUUGAGGUAGUGAGAGGGCGAAGAAUGCAUUGUACACAUGCAGCAAAGCAAGCAGAGCUCAUUAAUACAAUUUUAUUGGUUUUAUGGAAUUUUGAAUUCUAUGUAAUGGAUGAGAGGUUGUGUUUAUUCUCCAAUUAUUUGUCCUAUUUCUAUCACAUUUGAUGCGUCCGUAAUUACUUCUGAGUGGUCUGUAGAUGCUGUGAA
Molecule: long non-coding RNA, 2664 nt
Organism: Triticum dicoccoides
Lineage: Eukaryota; Viridiplantae; Streptophyta; Magnoliopsida; Poales; Poaceae
Exons: 4
Source: RefSeq, a predicted model, not a curated record